RNAcentral lists this ribosomal RNA (508 nucleotides) under uncultured fungus. RNAcentral describes it as "eukaryotic LSU rRNA". The stretch from base 108 to 261 matches the Rfam family "5.8S ribosomal RNA". The record is from RNAcentral. Lineage: Eukaryota; Fungi.
CGCCGAAGGGUUAUGUUUUUAACUAACCUUUGGGUCCGUGCCCGCCAGAGAUAUCUGAACUCUUGUUAUGAAAUAGGUUGUCUGAGUUAUAAAGAAAAAUAAGUCAAAACUUUCAACAACGGAUCUCUUGGUUCCGGCAUCGAUGAAGAACGCAGCGAAAUGCGAUAAGUAAUGUGAAUUGCAGAAUUCCGUGAAUCAUCGAAUCUUUGAACGCACAUUGCGCCCUCUGGUAUUCCGGAGGGCAUGCCUGUCCGAGCGUCAUUGCUGUACCUCAAGCCCGGCUUGUGUGUUGGGCCUACCGUCCUGUUUGGAUGGUGGCCCGAAAGGCAGUGGCGGCGUCGCGUCCCGGUCCUUGAAGCGUAUGGGGCUUUGUCACCCGCUUGGAGGCCGGCCGAUGCCGUAGCCCAUCGUGGAUCUUCCACAUUUAUUCUGAUGGACCUCGGAUCAGGUAGGGAUACCCGCUGAACUUAAGCAUAUCAAUAAGCGGAGGAAAUCGAAUUCCCGCGGC